GGGCGCAUGGCGCAGUUGGUUAGCGCAUUUGCUUGACAUGCAAAAGGUCAUAGGUUCGAGUCCUAUUGCGCCCACCA
RNAcentral lists this transfer RNA (77 nucleotides) under Candidatus Omnitrophota bacterium. RNAcentral describes it as "tRNA-Val". It matches the Rfam family "tRNA". From Rfam's summary of the family: Transfer RNA (tRNA) molecules are approximately 80 nucleotides in length. Their secondary structure includes four short double-helical elements and three loops (D, anti-codon, and T loops). Further hydrogen bonds mediate the characteristic L-shaped molecular structure. tRNAs have two regions of fundamental functional importance: the anti-codon, which is responsible for specific mRNA codon recognition, and the 3' end, to which the tRNAs corresponding amino acid is attached (by aminoacyl-tRNA synthetases). tRNAs cope with the degeneracy of the genetic code in two manners: having more than one tRNA (with a specific anti-codon) for a particular amino acid; and 'wobble' base-pairing, i.e. permitting non-standard base-pairing at the 3rd anti-codon position. The record is from RNAcentral. Lineage: Bacteria; Pseudomonadati; Candidatus Omnitrophota.